AGUAUAAAAGGAGAGAUAACUUUGGUGUUUAAGAACCUAAAUGGUGCACUGAAAUAGAACUUUGUUACUAGAGUCUGAGUCAAACUUUUCAAUAAACCGAGAUCAAAGACAUGGAGUGAAAUAUGGGGAUAAACUGGUCGUCUAGGCAAGGUGGACAGGGUCACUAAAGGUGGGACUCAGUGGAAGUAACAGCAAGGAUGCUAAAGCAGAAAGUAUGAAUUCAUAAUGAUGCAAGUGAAAAAUGAGACAGAAAAACUGUACCAGCAUUAGGGUAAACUGGUGUACUCUCAAAGAGCAGAGUGGUACCACCAUUAGACAGUGGACCAUAUAACACAUAGGAGUGACCAGUGAUCCAGCCAAUGUCAGCGACACAACCAAACUUCUCUCCAUCUCUGUAGUCGAACACAUGCUGCAAAGUAUAACAUUAUUUUUAUCAGAAUAACACUGUAUGCAGGGUCAAUUUUGUAAUUUAAAACUUUAAAUGAAUGUAUGUAUAAUGUAUGUGUACAUACAUACAAACAUAUAUACCGGUACUUAUUUAUUUAUUUUAUUUAUUUAUGUAUUAUUUAGACCAUUCACCAACAGCACAAAACUAUAAUUUAUGAUCUAUUGACACUAUUUUGGGCCAUGCCUUGUAAUGAUAACCUUAACUAAAAAUGUAUGACCUGAGAUGGCUGCUUCAGACUAUGAUCACAAUAGACAUGAGUUAGAACCUUAACCACCUCCAUCCCAUAUUGUCCAGCAUGAGGUUUGGGCAAUGAUACAAUAAUCUUCAAUUCUGAAGAAACUAGUAAAAAUACUCCAAAACAAAACUAAAGUUUAUGACCAUUGGCACUGCAUAGGCCAUCUUAGCAACACAAAACUAACAUUUUUUAGAUAGUAAAAAACAUACAAAUAAAAUAAUUUUGUAAUUUUUCA
Long non-coding RNA from Biomphalaria glabrata, 918 nucleotides. RefSeq lists it as uncharacterized. The record is from RefSeq and is a predicted model, not a curated record. NCBI's taxonomy places the organism in Eukaryota, Metazoa, Mollusca, Gastropoda, Planorbidae. The transcript has 2 exons.